GUGGGGAAUAUUGGACAAUGGGGGCAACCCUGAUCCAGCAAUGCCGCGUGUGUGAAGAAGGUCUUCGGAUUGUAAAGCACUUUCGACGGGGACGAUGAUGACGGUACCCGUAGAAGAAGCCCCGGCUAACUUCGUGCCAGCAGCCGCGGUAAUACGAAGGGGGCUAGCGUUGCUCGGAAUGACUGGGCGUAAAGGGCGCGUAGGCGGCGUGUUUUGUCAGAUGUGAAAUUCCUGGGCUCAACCUGGGGGCUGCAUUUGAAACGGGCAUGCUCGAGUUCGGAAGAGGGUCGUGGAAUUCCCAGUGUAGAGGUGAAAUUCGUAGAUAUUGGGAAGAACACCGGUGGCGAAGGCGGCGACCUGGUCCGGUACUGACGCUGAGGCGCGAAAGCGUGGGGAGCAAACAGG
RNAcentral lists this ribosomal RNA (405 nucleotides) under uncultured Acetobacteraceae bacterium. RNAcentral's name for it is "bacterial SSU rRNA". It matches the Rfam family "Bacterial small subunit ribosomal RNA", at positions 354 to 776 of the family's 1533-position model. The record is from RNAcentral. Lineage: Bacteria; Pseudomonadati; Pseudomonadota; Alphaproteobacteria; Acetobacterales; Acetobacteraceae.